Cyprinus carpio (common carp) is the source of this 407-nucleotide long non-coding RNA. RefSeq lists it as uncharacterized. Lineage: Eukaryota; Metazoa; Chordata; Actinopteri; Cypriniformes; Cyprinidae. The transcript has 4 exons. The record is from RefSeq and is a predicted model, not a curated record.
AUGGUGGGUUUUGGACUAGUCUGUCUGGGAACAUGGGUUCGGAUCAUUGCUUCAGUCACAGGAUUUUACCAAAUCAGUCUAAAAACAUCACCGUUCUCUAUUGGUGUGACGGUGUUGGUUAUCACCGGUAUUCUGAUAACACUGGCUGGUGUUCUGGGCAAUCUUGGCGCAUGUAGCUUCAAAAUAUCUGCACUUAAUGUGUUUUCUGGCCUGCUUUCCUUUCUGAUCAUCAUAAACAUUGCAGUAGGUGUGACAGCCUUCGUAAAGAGUGGACAAACGUCAGAUGAGUUGUCAGAGCUCUACCGCAAGAUCUACACUUCGCACACCAGGAGUUCCAACGAAACCAUGAUCCUCAGACUAUUACAUAAAACUGUAAGUCUCUCUCUCUCUCACACACACACACACAC